Pelobates cultripes (western spadefoot toad) is the source of this 133-nucleotide non-coding RNA. Lineage: Eukaryota; Metazoa; Chordata; Amphibia; Anura; Pelobatidae. The record is from the annotation of a GenBank genome assembly.
AGCACACACGCAGCAGUGUAUGUAUGUGUGUGUGUGUGUGUAUAUAUAUAUAUAUGUAUGUGUGUACGUGUAUAUAUAUAUAUAUAUAUAUAUAUAUAUACACACACAUACAUAUACACGCGGCAUGUGUUUG